GCCUCAUUAGCUCAGUUGGCAGAGCGGCACCCUGUUAAGGUGAGGGUCGAUGGUUCGAGUCCAUCAUGAGGCG
RNAcentral lists this transfer RNA (73 nucleotides) under Carboxylicivirga sediminis. It matches the Rfam family "tRNA". Rfam says of the family: Transfer RNA (tRNA) molecules are approximately 80 nucleotides in length. Lineage: Bacteria; Pseudomonadati; Bacteroidota; Bacteroidia; Marinilabiliales; Marinilabiliaceae. The record is from Rfam by way of RNAcentral.